AGAGUGAACGCUGGCGGCAGGCCUAACACAUGCAAGUCGAACGGCAGCACAGUAAGAGCUUGCUCUUAUGGGUGGCGAGUGGCGGACGGGUGAGGAAUACAUCGGAAUCUGCCUAUUUGUGGGGGAUAACGUAGGGAAACUUACGCUAAUACCGCAUACGACCUACGGGUGAAAGCGGAGGACCUUCGGGCUUCGCGCAGAUAGAUGAGCCGAUGUCGGAUUAGCUAGUUGGUGGGGUAAAGGCCCACCAAGGUCGACGAUCCGUAGCUGGUCUGAGAGGAUGAUCAGCCGCACUGGAACUGAGACACGGUCCAGACUCCUACGGGAGGCAGCAGUGGGAAUAUGGACAAUGGGCGCAAGCCUGAUCCAGCCAUGCCGCGUGAGUGAAGAGGCCCUUAGGUGUAAAGUCUCGUUUUUGGUAGGGAAGAAAGCAAGUCGGUUAAUACCCGGUUGUU
RNAcentral lists this ribosomal RNA (455 nucleotides) under uncultured soil bacterium. Its description in RNAcentral is "bacterial SSU rRNA". It matches the Rfam family "Bacterial small subunit ribosomal RNA", at positions 26 to 476 of the family's 1533-position model. The record is from RNAcentral.